CGGGGUCCGGGCCAGGGUGCAAGGUUUCCUGUGUUGUGUCAAAUUAAGCCACAGGCUCCACUCCUGGUGGUGCCCUUCCAUCAAUUCUUUUAAGUUUCAGCUUUGCAACCAUACUCCCCCCGGAACCCAAAGACUUUGGUUUCCCG
This is a long non-coding RNA of Thalassophryne amazonica, 146 nucleotides long. RefSeq lists it as uncharacterized. The record is from RefSeq and is a predicted model, not a curated record. Lineage: Eukaryota; Metazoa; Chordata; Actinopteri; Batrachoidiformes; Batrachoididae. The transcript has 3 exons.